ACCCAGAAGCAGCUAAAUAUGUUCAUGGCAUUGCUGUACAUUGGUACCUGGACUUUCUGGCUCCAGCCAAAGCCACCCUAGGGGAGACACACCGCCUGUUCCCCAACACCAUGCUCUUUGCCUCAGAGGCCUGUGUGGGCUCCAAGUUCUGGGAGCAGAGUGUGCGGCUAGGCUCCUGGGAUCGAGGGAUGCAGUACAGCCACAGCAUCAUCACGAACCUCCUGUACCAUGUGGUCGGCUGGACCGACUGGAACCUUGCCCUGAACCCCGAAGGAGGACCCAAUUGGGUGCGUAACUUUGUCGACAGUCCCAUCAUUGUAGACAUCACCAAGGACACGUUUUACAAACAGCCCAUGUUCUACCACCUUGGCCACUUCAGGUGAGUGGAGGGCGGGCACCCCCAUUCCAUACCAGGCCUAUCAUCUCCUACAUCGGAUGGCUUACAUCACUCUACACCACGAGGGAGCAGGAAGGUGUUCAGGGUGGAACCUCGGAAGAGGCACACCCAUCCCCUUUUGCACCAUGGAGGCAGGAAGUGACUAGGUAGCAACAGAAAACCCCAAUGCCUGAGGCUGGACUGCGAUGCAGAAAAGCAGGGUCAGUGCCCAGCAGCAUGGCUCCAGGCCUAGAGAGCCAGGGCAGAGCCUCUGCAGGAGUUAUGGGGUGGGUCCGUGGGUGGGUGACUUCUUAGAUGAGGGUUUCAUGGGAGGUACCCCGAGGGACUCUGACCAUCUGUUCCCACAUUCAGCAAGUUCAUUCCUGAGGGCUCCCAGAGAGUGGGGCUGGUUGCCAGUCAGAAGAACGACCUGGACGCAGUGGCACUGAUGCAUCCCGAUGGCUCUGCUGUUGUGGUCGUGCUAAACCGCUCCUCUAAGGAUGUGCCUCUUACCAUCAAGGAUCCUGCUGUGGGCUUCCUGGAGACAAUCUCACCUGGCUACUCCAUUCACACCUACCUGUGGUGUCGCCAGUGAUGGAGCAGAUACUCAAGGAGGCACUGGGCUCAGC
RNAcentral lists this unclassified non-coding RNA (1005 nucleotides) under Homo sapiens (human). RNAcentral describes it as "glucosylceramidase beta 1 (ENSG00000262446.5)". Lineage: Eukaryota; Metazoa; Chordata; Mammalia; Primates; Hominidae. The record is from RNAcentral.